Molecule: transfer RNA, 67 nt
Filed under: Marmota monax (woodchuck)
Lineage: Eukaryota; Metazoa; Chordata; Mammalia; Rodentia; Sciuridae
Description: tRNA.Ala
Source: RNAcentral
GGUUAUAGCUCAGUGGUAGAAUGCUUGCCUAGCAUGUAUGAGGCACUGGGUUCGAAACUCAGCACCA